RNAcentral lists this ribosomal RNA (443 nucleotides) under uncultured eukaryote. Its description in RNAcentral is "bacterial SSU rRNA". It matches the Rfam family "Eukaryotic small subunit ribosomal RNA", at positions 1213 to 1662 of the family's 1831-position model. The record is from RNAcentral.
ACUCACCAGGUCAGGACACGGUAAGGAUUGACGGACUGAAGGCUCUUUCUCUAUUCCGUGGAAAGUGGUGCAUGGCCGUUUUUGGUUGGUGGAUCGAUCCGUCUGGUUAAUUCCGUUAACGAACGAGACCUCGGCACUCCGAAUAGCGCGGCGGACGUCGCGGCCUCCGGGGCCGUCUUCCGCACGAGCUUCUUAGAGGGACCGUCCCCCGCCGGGGAAGGAGGUGCGAGGCAACGACAGGUCUGUGAUGCCCUUAGAUGUUCUGGGCCGCACGCGCAUUACACUGACGCGUCCAACGGGUGACUCCCGACCCGAAGGGGCCGGGGAAUCCGCAAGGCGCGUCGUGAUGGGGAUUGAACGUUGCAAUUGUUGUUCACGAACGAGGAAUUCCUAGUAGGCGCGGGUCAUCAACCCGCGCCGAUUACGUCCCUGCCCUCUGAGAC